This is a long non-coding RNA of Scomber scombrus (Atlantic mackerel), 324 nucleotides long. RefSeq lists it as uncharacterized. The transcript is spliced from 3 exons. Lineage: Eukaryota; Metazoa; Chordata; Actinopteri; Scombriformes; Scombridae. The record is from RefSeq and is a predicted model, not a curated record.
ACUUUUCCCCACUCCUUCUGUCCUGAGGAGAUUAAACUCAUUUUUCAACUAUUCAAAUGUCUUAAGAACAAGACUCUUUUUGAGACAGACCUGGUCCAGACAGCAGAGAGCCUCACAGAGAACACCUUCAUGGGAAGAAGUUGAGUGCUGCAGGUUACCAACAUGGAAAGGAUCCAUCAGAGACCAGACUCCUCUGAACCUGAACCUGAACCUGGACCUGGACCUGGACCUGGACCUGGACCUGAACCCAGCUGUGUAUCUAUGAAGAGUGACUGGUCAAUUGAUCGCCUCAUUGAUUUUAAAGAACAACAACCGUCUGCUGAA